AGGAGAGUUUGAUCCUGGCUCAGGAUGAACGCUAGCGGCAGGCCUAAUACAUGCAAGUCGGACGGUAAGCGCCCCUUCGGGGGUGCGAGAGUGGCGCACGGGUGCGUAACGCGUAUGCAACCAGCCCCGUCCAGGCGGAUAGCCGGUGGAAACGCCGGAUAAUACGCCACGGUCCCGGAGGGGGGCAUCCCUUUCCGGGUGAAGCGGAGACGCGGGACGGGACGGGCAUGCGUGCCAUUAGCUGGUUGGCGGGGCGACGGCCCACCAAGGCUACGAUGGCUAGGGGAUCUGAGAGGACGGUCCCCCACACUGGUACUGAGACACGGACCAGACUCCUGCGGGAGGCAGCAGUAAGGGAUAUUGGUCAAUGGGGGGAACCCUGAACCAGCCAUGCCGCGUGAGGGAAUGAGGCCCUACGGGUCGUGAACCUCUUUUAUUCGGGGACAACGGCGGCGUCGCGAACGCCGCGUGAGGGUACCGAAGGAAUAAGCGUCGGCUAACUCCGUGCCAGCAGCCGCGGUAAUACGGAGGACGCGAGCGUUAUCCGGAUUCAUUGGGUUUAAAGGGUGCGCAGGCGGCCGUGCAAGUCAGCGGUGAAAGCCCGGGGCUCAACCCCGGAAGUGCCGUUGAUACUGCAUGGCUGAAUGCGGUCGAGGCGGGCGGAACGUGGCGUGUAGCGGUGAAAUGCGUAGAUAUGCCACAGAACGCCGAUAGCGGAGGCAGCUCGCCAGGCCUGCAUUGACGCUCGGGCACGAAAGCGUGGGGAUCGAACAGGAUUAGAUACCCUGGUAGUCCCCU
RNAcentral lists this ribosomal RNA (798 nucleotides) under uncultured Bacteroidota bacterium. RNAcentral describes it as "bacterial SSU rRNA". It matches the Rfam family "Bacterial small subunit ribosomal RNA", at positions 1 to 799 of the family's 1533-position model. The record is from RNAcentral. Lineage: Bacteria; Pseudomonadati; Bacteroidota.